RNAcentral lists this transfer RNA (72 nucleotides) under Synechococcaceae cyanobacterium SM2_3_1. RNAcentral describes it as "tRNA-Lys". It matches the Rfam family "tRNA". From Rfam's summary of the family: Transfer RNA (tRNA) molecules are approximately 80 nucleotides in length. Their secondary structure includes four short double-helical elements and three loops (D, anti-codon, and T loops). Lineage: Bacteria; Bacillati; Cyanobacteriota; Cyanophyceae; Synechococcales; Synechococcaceae. The record is from RNAcentral.
GGGUCGGUAGCUCAGCGGUAGAGCAGUCGGCUUUUAACCGACUGGUCCAGGGUUCGAAUCCCUGCCGACCCA